UCUCAAGGGCAAUUGAGAUGUCAGUGAGGCUGUGAUUAAAUGUAUUGGAUAUUAGAGGAUUUUAAAUACAAACAAGUAUUAUAGGUGUUACCACUGACCCCGAAGGUAAGAUUUACUGUGAAAAUUUAUAAUGCAAGGAAGAAUGAUCAAGUUGGCUGUCAGAACAACAAAAUAUUACAAACCAGGAUGUCUAAGAGCAGAAGUCCGUGGUUGCCACCUCUCAAGCCUCUUAGCUUAAUCCAAUCUAGGAUGCAUUUCCACUCUGCAACAAACAGUAUUUAUUUUUGCCUUAUUUGCAGAUAACAGUUUUAAUGCAGGUACUGCCCAUGGAUUAGCUUUGAGCAGUGUCUUUUUGCUUUGGUUUUUUUAUUUGUUUGGUUUGUUUUGAGACUGAGUCUCAGUCCUCCAGCCUGGGCAACAUAGCAAGACUCCCACCCCUUAAGAAAAAAGAAGAGAGAAAAAAAUAGAAGUUGUGGAGAGGGAGGAGGAUGCUUGAAUACUUUGACCGUACUUGGCAUAAUAGACAUUUUGAGGGUUUUUUUGUUUUCUUAAAAUUCCUCUGGAUCAGUUUUCAUUGUUUCUAGUAAUUAUAUUUAUCGUUAAUGAAUUCAUAUUCUGCUCUAGCCCCUAAAGAUAGUUUGAUAUGCUAACUUUUGUUUUGCCUUUCUAGCUGCUAAGAUAGAUAAUGGUUAUUGCAAAAUGCACGUUUUUAAAUGGUCUCCAGUGUGGAUUGCUUCUGAGCUGCUGAUGGAUUGAAUACAUUGAGAAGGAAUGUGUCAUUUGGAAUCCAGGACCAGUCAGCAAGGAUAACUGCCUGAUUUUAUGGUCAGAAUGCUCUAACUCUUAUGGCAUACUGAUGACUUUUUCUUCCAUUUUCCAAAAAAGCAAGUUUUGUCAGUCUCAGUGUUUCUCUGAUCUAGCUACUCACAAUUCCAUUCCCAAAGUAGUGACCUAGUUCUGUCACUUGGGUUUCAAAGGGAGUUGAAGUGUCACUGAGUGAGUACAGCAAACCUGUUUAAUGAUUUAUAGGAAGCAAAUAAAAAGAAUUUUGUUUGCUAACCUAGAAGUAUAUCAGAUUUUGGUUUCAAUUUAUAAUUUUGCAAAAUAUAAAGACAUUUCCUGGCUAACUCCAUCCAGAUGAAUUAUUCAGUAUUUUUUCUCCUAUCUUAAUGAAGUUAAUUUGAAUGCUAAUUUCCUAUAACCAAGAAAACAGUUGAAUUAAAUAACCCUUAUCUUUUAAACUUAAAGCUUAUACUACUAAUAAUCAUUUAACAUUCACUUCCUUUUUUCUGACUUAAUUGGUAGGUAAAUAAAAUACUUCAAAUUUGAUUGGCAAAUUGGAAAAUCACUUAGAACAAUCUGCUAGUAUUUUUUAUUCCCUUUGUUUUUUCCUUUACACAUUUGUACUGCAAAAUAAAUCAAGGACAAAGACUCACACUGAAUUGAUCAACUUGUGUUUGGUCUUCAUGGGAAUUACAUCUUUUUUCCCCUCAACAUUUAUUAAAGGAACAUACAGAAUUUCAGACUAUAGCAAACUAAUACCUUUAGCUUGACUAAGAGUUGAUUUUCGUUAAGGAACAGAACUUGUAAUUUAUUUCGACAUACUUUAAUGUAUGACUCAUCCCUGUUAAAGUUGUGAGACUCAAAACUACGCCCAAAUCACUUAAUUUUAUGUCCUUCCCUGUUUACUGUGUCUGACCUUCAAGAUUUCGUGACUGAUGCUGAAAUGGAAGCCAACCACUGCAGAAAUUUGGGGGAAAAUGAGAUCUGAAGAAUACAAGGGGAAGUAGGAAUUCAUUUCUAGCAUUUCCAAACCUGCUUAAUCGUGUCUGCUCCACCACAGUCAGAGGAAAAGACUGAGUUCAUGGAAAUUACCAGCUAAGCCUUACAUCUGUCUUUAAUGUUUUUAGGAAGUAUACUGAAAAGGUAAGUGAGAUGUCUGUUUUGAAGAAAGACUCUUACUGGGUACCUUAAAACCCGUUGUUUCCUAUUAGUAAAGAUGGGCAGCUUCUUUAUUCCUAGCUUCAAAAAGCCUUGCCCCUGUUUGGUGUGUUUCUCAGUAUUGUGGAGAAGGUAGUUUCUGAGCAAGGUGGUGCUUUUCCUCUGCUUCUCAGCAGCUAAGACAGAAAUUGCACCGAAGUGUACAAAGGGCCAAUUUUUGUUGUCCUGUUGUGCUCAAAUCCUUUUUUUUAAAAAAGUUAUUUCAAUCAAGUCUUAGUUUUAUUCCUCACUAUAUAGGAAAAAAAUCUUUAAUGCCUCAAAAGUUCCAUUCAGCAUUACAUUUGCAUUACUCUUAUUUGCAGCAAAUAUGAGUAAAAUUAUAGGUUUUUAAAGGUCUCUAAUAACAUCCACUUAUAUUGGUUUUGUAGAUAAUCCAUAAAUUACCAGAAAUAAAUUAUUCCACAUUUAUUACACACCCAUGUAAUAGAUGUCGUGCCAGGCCCUGGAAUAUACUAAUGGCAUCACCUCAUGUGGUAAAAAGACACAUUCCGCCAUCCUGGAGUAUACAAAGGUAGACUAGCAUAUAGUUCAUGUGCUCAAGGAGUUCAUUUUUAUUGACAUGAUACAGAUAGAAUUGUAGUUUAGGGAAUCAAAAUCUAAUAAAAUGAGGCUAAUUCCAUUUUCCCAUUAACACUAAUAACUAGUGUGUAAAUCUGAAUAUGACACAUUCUAUAUGAAAGAAGCUCUGUGUGCAUCUACACUAAAUACUCGUGUGUGCCAGGUACUGUUUUAAACUACGUAUAUUUUUUUAAUUCUCAUAACUGUUCUCUGAGGUAUGUACUAAUACUAAAGCUUAUUGUUAAAGGAAGGCAGAAAAAUUAAGUAACUUGGCCUAAGUUUGCAUAACUGUGAUCUGGGAUCAAUAUUUGAACCCAUACAGGCUGAUUGCAGAGCCUGCACUCUUAAUUUGAGUGUGAUAUUUAUGUGCAGUACCUGGCUAUAAGUACCCACAAAACGUUUCAAAUUCUUUAUAAAAUUUGCUUAGUUAAAAAAGUACCAAUUGCAUAAUAUGGUUAUAAGUCUGGUAGAAGUUAGGCUUUUUACAAGACAUGCUGCUUACUGCACCAAGGAGGCAAGAAGGCUUUUUAGAGAGCCCAGAAUUUCCUUUCCUCAACUCCUGCUUCCAAGACAGUCAUUUUGCAUGAUAACCGUUUCCCCAAAAAACACAGACACAAAAUUUAAAGAACUGGAACAGAGGAAGCAGAGCUUAUCAUAGUAUAUAUGUUUAGUACCCUGUCACUUAGGUCCACCCCUCUUUCUUUGUGGAUUGUGGACAUUUUGUUUAACUGCUAAAUCAUGAGAAUAUAUGACUGCUGAGACUUUUCCAAGGAUUUUUUAAAAAACACAUUAGGCUUUGUGCAGAAGUAAAGAAAAAGUGCUGUGAGAACCCCAGGUAGGUAAUUUACUUUCUAUUGUACUCAUAGUUUGUUUGAAACCUCUUCACCUCUAUCCCUUAUUGUUUUAUACUCUGUAAAUCUGAUUUUACCUUUAAUAAACUUUUCUGAAGUGAAAAAAAAAAAAAAAAA
This 3527-nucleotide long non-coding RNA is filed under the name Homo sapiens (human). Its description in RNAcentral is "long independently transcribed non-coding RNA 1355 (LINC01355)". Lineage: Eukaryota; Metazoa; Chordata; Mammalia; Primates; Hominidae. The record is from RNAcentral.